UUUGAUCAUGGCUCAGAUUGAACGCUGGCGGCAGGCCUAACACAUGCAAGUCGAGCGGUAGAGAGAAGCUUGCUUCUCUUGAGAGCGGCGGACGGGUGAGUAAUGCCUAGGAAUCUGCCUGGUAGUGGGGGAUAACGUUCGGAAACGGACGCUAAUACCGCAUACGUCCUACGGGAGAAAGCAGGGGACCUUCGGGCCUUGCGCUAUCAGAUGAGCCUAGGUCGGAUUAGCUAGUUGGUGAGGUAAUGGCUCACCAAGGCGACGAUCCGUAACUGGUCUGAGAGGAUGAUCAGUCACACUGGAACUGAGACACGGUCUAGACUCCUACGGGAGGCAGCAGUGGGGAAUAUUGGACAAUGGGCGAAAGCCUGAUCCAGCCAUGCCGCGUGUGUGAAGAAGGUCUUCGGAUUGUAAAGCACUUUAAGUUGGGAGGAAGGGUUGUAGAUCAAUACUCUGCAAUUUUGACGUUACCGACAGAAUAAGCACCGGCUAACUCUGUGCCAGCAGCCGCGGUAAUACAGAGGGUGCAAGCGUUAAUCGGAAUUACUGGGCGUAAAGCGCGCGUAGGUGGUUUGUUAAGUUGGAUGUGAAAUCCCCGGGCUCAACCUGGGAACUGCAUUCAAAACUGACUGACUAGAGUAUGGUAGAGGGUGGUGGAAUUUCCUGUGUAGCGGUGAAAUGCGUAGAUAUAGGAAGGAACACCAGUGGCGAAGGCGACCACCUGGACUAAUACUGACACUGAGGUGCGAAAGCGUGGGGAGCAAACAGGAUUAGAUACCCUGGUAGUCCACGCCGUAAACGAUGUCAACUAGCCGUUGGAAGCCUUGAGCUUUUAGUGGCGCAGCUAACGCAUUAAGUUGACCGCCUGG
Molecule: ribosomal RNA, 869 nt
Filed under: uncultured Pseudomonas sp.
Lineage: Bacteria; Pseudomonadati; Pseudomonadota; Gammaproteobacteria; Pseudomonadales; Pseudomonadaceae
Description: bacterial SSU rRNA
Rfam family: Bacterial small subunit ribosomal RNA
Source: RNAcentral